Bombus terrestris (buff-tailed bumblebee) is the source of this 1163-nucleotide long non-coding RNA. RefSeq lists it as uncharacterized. The transcript is spliced from 2 exons. NCBI's taxonomy places the organism in Eukaryota, Metazoa, Arthropoda, Insecta, Hymenoptera, Apidae. The record is from RefSeq and is a predicted model, not a curated record.
UGACUGAUAACUAUCUAAAGUUACCAAAUUAAUUGAGAACAUAUUUCUUAUCUAUAAACAAAGUAUUAUAUUUUUUAUAUUACUUACUUAAACAAAUAAAUCCGUCUUUUAAGUACUUACCUGAAGAAUUACAGGUUAUGCUUAUAUUUGUUCAUCCACUGAUAUUGAAUUUCAAAGUUAUUAUGCUCACAAUGUUUCUUGAAGUAAAGAUGUUUUGUAAAUGUUAUUUUACCAUCAUUUUUAUACAUAUAUUAAACUGUUAAUAUUGUUUUUAAAAAUUCUAAUUAAUUUUUACAUAGCCACACAACUGAUGUUUCUGCUAAUAUGAUGCAAAAGUCACAACAUCAGGUAUACUUUUAUACUUUUAACUAAAAAAAUAAGUAACUGUUAAUUUCAUUAAAUAACACUAAAAUAGGUAUAUAAUAAUAAUAUAAUAAAAACUAGAAUUUAUAUUUUUUAUAACAUGUUUUUAUUUUGUAUUACAAUUUAAGUUUUACAAGUUCAUUGUUAUAUAAGCAUAUGUAAUUAGCAAAAUAAAUUGUACAAAAGUACAUUAAACAUACAUUAGGCAUUUGAAGUAUUUAAUUUCAACUUUGAUUAUGUAGACUGAAUGAAAAAUAGACUAUAAUAUACUUUGUAGAGUAACAGGUUCUCAUAUUUAAAAAAUAUUACAUUUCAUAAGAUCAACAUUGUACAAAAUAACAUUUCACUUUUGUAUCGCAUAUAUACUUAUGCAUAUGCAGAUAAUAUUGAUACAUAUUAAAAAUAUUUUGUGCGUAUGUAUUUCAUGGUAAUUUAUAGGCCAAUAGAAUUAUAAUAAAGCAUUAGUAAAUAUAUUAGAAAUUCUUCAAAUAUAAACUAUUAAUGCAUAAAUAAUUCUAAAGUUUAAUGUUUACAUGAAAUAAAUAUCAAAAUAUGCAUAGAAACAAUAAUAAUGAUGGCCUAAGUUAAUCAACUUAAGGUAGUUAAAUGAAUGUUUGAAUAUUGAUGAUACAAAUAGACUCGAUAUUUCAUUCUAAUCAUAUAAUAAAUUAAACAUAUCAAAAUACGAAUACUUAAAGGAAAAAAAUUAAAAUGAUUCGUUUUUUACUUUAAACAUGCAAGUUUAAAAAAUGGUACAGUAACUUCUUUCACGAAAGGGAUUCGAUUUCUGUGAUGAAAAA